GGUCCUCCAGUCCAGCCGGGCAACGGUAGCGUUGACACAUCAAAAGGAACAACUUUCGAGUCUGUUGUAACAUUUUCUUGCAAAACUGGUUACGAUUUGGAAGGCGAAAGACAUGCCAUUUGUCAAGCUAGUAGUUCUUGGAAUAUAACAUCGCCUACAUGCAGUAUAAAAGACUGUGGAAAACCAAACCAAACAGCCAAUGGAAAGUACUCGCUAGAUGCAAGACAACUGACGGUUUUCAAUCAUACUGCAACAUACAAGUGUAAUUCUGGUUACGAAACAACUGAUGUCACGUUUAUUACAUGCAAUUCCUCUGGAAAUUGGUGUAGUCCGCCACCGAAGUGCAAUGAUAUUGACGAAUGUGCUCGAUAUACAGCAAGAUGUCAUAGGCGUGCACAAUGCACGAACACCAAUGGGUCUUACGAGUGCAAGUGUCACGUUGGCUUUAGAGAUAUCUCUAAGAACAAGGAAGUAGGAAUUGAUUGUCAAGAUAUCAACGAAUGUGCCAACGACAAUACAAACCCCUGUAACAGGAAAGGAUCUCAGUGUAUUAACUAUCCCGGAGGGUUUCUUUGUCUAUGUGACGACGGCUGGACUGACAAUAACUGCAGUACAGGUA
Long non-coding RNA from Mercenaria mercenaria, 619 nucleotides. RefSeq lists it as uncharacterized. The transcript is spliced from 4 exons. Lineage: Eukaryota; Metazoa; Mollusca; Bivalvia; Venerida; Veneridae. The record is from RefSeq and is a predicted model, not a curated record.